GAUGAACGCUAGCUACAGGCUUAACACAUGCAAGUCGAGGGGCAGCAUGGUCUUAGCUUGCUAAGGCCGAUGGCGACCGGCGCACGGGUGAGUAACACGUAUCCAACCUGCCGUCUACUCUUGGACAGCCUUCUGAAAGGAAGAUUAAUACAAGAUGGCAUCAUGAGUCCGCAUGUUCACAUGAUUAAAGGUAUUCCGGUAGACGAUGGGGAUGCGUUCCAUUAGAUAGUAGGCGGGGUAACGGCCCACCUAGUCUUCGAUGGAUAGGGGUUCUGAGAGGAAGGUUCCCCACAUUGGAACUGAGACACGGUCCAAACUCCUACGGGAGGCAGCAGUGAGGAAUAUUGGUCAAUGGGCGAGAGCCUGAACCAGCCAAGUAGCGUGAAGGACGACUGCCCUAUGGGUUGUAAACUUCUUUUAUAAAGGAAUAAAGUCGGGUAUGGAUACCCGUUUGCAUGUACUUUAUGAAUAAGGAUCGGCUAACUCCGUG
This 490-nucleotide ribosomal RNA is filed under the name uncultured bacterium. RNAcentral describes it as "partial 16S ribosomal RNA". It matches the Rfam family "Bacterial small subunit ribosomal RNA", at positions 28 to 507 of the family's 1533-position model. The record is from RNAcentral.